This 253-nucleotide ribosomal RNA is filed under the name uncultured bacterium. Its description in RNAcentral is "partial 16S ribosomal RNA". It matches the Rfam family "Bacterial small subunit ribosomal RNA", at positions 524 to 776 of the family's 1533-position model. The record is from RNAcentral.
UACAGAGGGCUCAAGCGUUGUUCGGAUUCAUUGGGCGUAAAGGGUGCGUAGGCGGUUUGGUAAGUCUCGUGUGAAAUCUCCGGGCUCAACUCGGAGCCUGCACGAGAAACUGCCGGGCUUGAGUGUGGGAGAGGUGAGUGGAAUUCCUGGUGUAGCGGUGAAAUGCGUAGAUAUCAGGAGGAACACCUAUGGCGAAAGCGGCUCACUGGACCAUAACUGACGCUGAGGCACGAAAGCGUGGGGAGCAAACAGG